AUAUUUAAUAUUUAAUCUCUUAUUUAGUUUUAUAUUUUUGACUUACUGUAUGAUGACCCUCAAAUGUAAAACAAAUAUUGUCUAUUCUGGUUAUCAAGUUAAAUGUGAUGAAAAAUAAACUAAAGACAUGUCAACGUUACGUCAAAGUUAAAGGUUAGGCCUAUAAUUUGUUAUUAUAUAACCACUAACAUUAAAAGCAAAAGGAA
This 206-nucleotide long non-coding RNA is filed under the name Mytilus galloprovincialis (Mediterranean mussel). The record is from RNAcentral. Lineage: Eukaryota; Metazoa; Mollusca; Bivalvia; Mytilida; Mytilidae.